RNAcentral lists this unclassified non-coding RNA (1327 nucleotides) under Hevea brasiliensis (rubber tree). Lineage: Eukaryota; Viridiplantae; Streptophyta; Magnoliopsida; Malpighiales; Euphorbiaceae. The record is from RNAcentral.
UAUAUACAUAACUCAAACUAGACAAAAACAAGCAAUAACAGAAACCCCUCUUCGUAUCAGAAAGAGUUCAUUUCCAGCAAAUAAGCCUUACUCUUCACAAGGAGCGCUGCCAGUUCCUCAUAUACCCCUUCACCUCCGAAAGCACCCGUCGCCAGCUUAGCAUCUUCCACGUCAGCUGCCCAAGCUUCCCCACUCUGGACCCCACCAACUUCCUUCCCUACACAAGGCCAAACGACCACCAGAGUCGCACCUUCUACCCGACUCCCAUCAUUGAGCUGUACCCUCGGCUCGUGUCUCAUCCUCAUCCUCGCGCUCGGUACCACCGUCCUACUCGCCUCCCACUCUCUAUCACUAGCCGCCUUCUCCAUCCUACACUCCCGUAAACCCUCCUUAUCCAUCACCACUAUCCCUUCCGUUUCCUCAUCCUUCAAUUCCAAUCUCUCCAUUUCCUCGUGUUCUUUCACAACUUCUUUUAGCAAGUAGUGUCUUGCUGAUGCUGCGAUCAACGCACUGAUCGUCCACACCACUCUGGCCUUCAAACCUCCGGCGAAAUCAAAAUCCACGUCAGCAUUACCAUCCUCCGCAGCGGUGCGAAAACCGAGAAUCACGCAACUCUUCAACGUAUUCCCGAAUUCGGCUCUCCAUUUUAUAACGACGCCUUUAUCUAAUUUUAAGUCACCGGCGGGUAGCUGGAUUUGUAGGUCUCGAAUCCGGUGGAACUGAGAGAGGAUUUGAGCGGGAGAAUUAUGGGUAAGGGUGAGCGUUGCGGUGGGUUUGUGAUCGGACUUGAAAAGGUCCUGAAUGGAAUUGAGAAGAGACUUGAGGAAGGAGAAGAGUAGGGAUUCGGUGUCGGACUCAGGCGAAAUGACGCGGUCGACUCUGAGAAGGAGCGACUCGGUUUCGGGAACGAGCGAGUAGAAGCGUUUGGAAACGGAGCGGCAGCGGAUAAGAGUCUUGACAUCGGAGACGGAGUUGAAGAUGAGAAGGAUGAGAGAAUCCGGGAGGCGAUCGAAACCGUCCAUAUCGACUGCGAUGAAACGAAUUUUCUUUUCUGGUUGCUAGACUACCAGUGUCUGUUUAUGGAAAUGAGAUUGGAGAUGAGAGUUAGUUGGGGUUUUAGAUAUUUUAUUUAGGGAUAAGGAAGGGAAGCCUCGAAAGGAAAGGGUGUGGUUUUGACCGUUGACCUUUGAAGCGUGGAGCGUACACUCUAUUGUAAUCAGCUUCUAGAUUUUUCAUUUAAUGCCCUUCGUAGAAUUCCGUGUUGGGAUAGAAGAAGAUAUCUGUAAUUGAUUUUUCAACGGUUGAUAUUAGUUCUUUAAUGGCAUUG